AUGCACGAAGGAAGGGAAAGGGACAUCUAUAAGAUGGCCAAGAUCGGGGAGAGGAAGACGAGGGAUGUUGGCCAAGGCAAAUGGAUCAAGGACGGAGUAGACCAACUCCUAGUGAAGGACGAGGAGAUUAAUCAUAGAUGGUGGGAGUACUUCGACAAGUUGUUCAAUGGGAAGAAUGAGAGUUCUACCAUUGAACUGGACGACGCCUUCGAUGAGACCAGCAUGCGUUUUGUGCGGCGUAUCCAGGAGUAUGAGGUCAAGGAGGCUUUAAAAAGGAUGAAAGGAGGCAAGGCGAUGGGCCCAGAUUUUAUCCCCAUUGAGGUGUGGAAAGGCCUUGGAGACAUAGCGAUAAUAUGGCUAACCAAGCUUUUCAAGCUCAUUUUUCGGGCAAAUAAGAUGCCAGAAGAAUGGAGUCGGAGUAUAUUAGUACCAAUCAUCAAGAACAAGAGGAAUGUUCAAAGUUGUACUAAUUACCGUGCAAUUAAGCUGAUGAGUCAUAGAAUGAAGCUAUGGGAGAGAGUCGUUGAGCAUCGCUUAUGGAGAAUGACAAGCGUGACCAAAAAUAAUUUUGGUUUCAUGCCUGGGAGGUUGACCAUGGAAGCCAUUUUCUUGGUACGACAACUUAUGGAGAGAUACAGGGAACAAAAGAAGGACUUGCAUAUGGUGUUCAUUGACUUCGAGAAGGCCUAUGAUAAGAUACCACGGAAUGUCAUGUGGUGGGCCUUGGAGAAACACAAAGUUCCAGCAAAGUACAUUACCCUCAUCAAGGACAUGUACAAUAAUGUUGUGACAAGUGUUCGAACAAGUGAUGUUGACACUGAUGACUUCCUGAUUAAGAUAGGACUGCAUCAGGGGUCAGCUUUGAGCCCUUAUCUUUUUGCCUUGGUGAUGGAUGAGGUCACAAGGGAUAUACAAGUAGAUAUCCCAUGGUGUAUGCUCUUUGCAGAUCAUGUGGUGCUAGUUGACGAUACUCGGACAUGGGUAAAUAGGAAGUUAGAGUUAUGGAGUCAAACCUUGGAAUCGAAAGGGUUUAGUCUUGGUAGAACUAAAACCGAGUACAUGAUGUGUGGUUUCAGUACUACUAGGUGCGAGGAGGAGGAGGUUAGCCUUGAUGGGCAGGUGGUGCCUCAGAAGGACACCUUUCGAUAUUUGGGGUCAAUGCUGCAGGAGGAUGGGGGUAUUGAUGAAGAUGUGAACCAUCGAAUCAAAGCGCAUUCUCUGUGA
RNAcentral lists this ribosomal RNA (1224 nucleotides) under Triticum aestivum (bread wheat). Its description in RNAcentral is "partial small subunit ribosomal RNA". The record is from RNAcentral. Lineage: Eukaryota; Viridiplantae; Streptophyta; Magnoliopsida; Poales; Poaceae.